Molecule: RNA transcript, 1018 nt
Organism: Mercurialis annua (annual mercury)
Lineage: Eukaryota; Viridiplantae; Streptophyta; Magnoliopsida; Malpighiales; Euphorbiaceae
Exons: 3
Source: RefSeq, a predicted model, not a curated record
CUUUUUCCGUCAACAAUCCUAUAGCAGCGUGAUGGGUUUGUCAAUCGUCAUCAUCAAAGUAAAGAAUUGUAGAAAAUAAUUGGGCGGGCUGGACAUGCGAGAGAGAAGAGGUAAUUAAUGGGAAGAAUAUUCGUGAUAGACAUAGAAGGCCGAUGCUACAGUUGCCGGUGCUGCGACGAUACCCCUCUUGCUCUCGUCGACGAUGUCCUUUCUCGGGGUAUUGGGAAUGGUAUUUGGGUCAACCAAUAGUGUGUGGAAGUUGAAUGGAAAGAGCGAUUUCUUCUAAGGUGUAUCAUGUGAAUUAGCACAUGGAGAAUGUUUGUUAUGUAGUUUUAGAUGCUUAUAUGUGAUGGUGCCGCUUAAUGGCUUUCUGGAUAUGGAUAAUUUCAUGGGACAAAUUCUUACUUCAGGGUCUGGAAAAGAUUAUUAAGAUGACAAAACUGACUUUGAACUAUCAACAAUUCCAGCUCUCAUACCUGUACUGAGUACUGCUGCUGGCGAGACGCUACUGCUGCUUGUUAAGCACGUUGAACUUAUUAUUAACAAGGUUUUUUUUAUCAUUCAAUUCAUUAGACACAAUUAUAUUUUUGUGCUUCAACACAUUUGGUGGAAACCCUGUAUGUACUGCUGCAGGGCUGGCUGUUCUAAGAGUGAUUGAGAAAGAAAAUCUUCAGGAAAAUGCAUUUGUUGGGUCUCAUCUGAAAAAAAGACUGACUGAGCCCAAAGAGAAAUACAAAAGUAAAAUAUGAAUUCCUUUGACUUUCCCGAUCGAAAAUUUGCUUUACGUAUCAUAAUUUCAAACAUGCUAUUUUCUUACUGUAGUUAUUGGAGAUGUGAGGGGAAGAUGAUUAAUGGUUUACUAUACGUUUUCUAAUGGUGUUUUUAUGUUUACCAAAUUCUAUGUUUUUUUCCCUCAUAUAUCUGUCAUUUUAAUUGUACUUUGUGCUCGUUUUUCUUCAAAAUCUUAUUUAUAGGAGCAACUUGAUUUUUUGAAUCAUUUCAAUUGCAGUCAUGGAAA